GCACUCACUUCGGCAGCACAUACACUAAACUUGGAAUGAUACAGGGAAGGUUAGCACUGCCCCUGUGCAAGAUGAUGUGCAAAUUCAUGGCGUCUGGUGGCUCUGA
Suricata suricatta (meerkat) is the source of this 106-nucleotide small nuclear RNA. Lineage: Eukaryota; Metazoa; Chordata; Mammalia; Carnivora; Herpestidae. The record is from Ensembl.